Molecule: ribosomal RNA, 253 nt
Filed under: uncultured bacterium
Lineage: Bacteria
Description: partial 16S ribosomal RNA
Rfam family: Bacterial small subunit ribosomal RNA
Source: RNAcentral
UACGAAGGGGGCUAGCGUUGUUCGGAAUUACUGGGCGUAAAGCGCACGUAGGCGGCUUUCUAAGUCAGGGGUGAAAUCCUGGAGCUCAACUCCAGAACUGCCUUUGAUACUGGGAAGCUCGAGUCCGGAAGAGGUAAGUGGAACUCCGAGUGUAGAGGUGAAAUUCGUAGAUAUUCGGAAGAACACCAGUGGCGAAGGCGGCUUACUGGUCCGGUACUGACGCUGAGGUGCGAAAGCUAGGGGAGCAAACGGG